This 146-nucleotide small nuclear RNA is filed under the name Haemaphysalis longicornis (longhorned tick). RNAcentral describes it as "U1 spliceosomal RNA". It matches the Rfam family "U1 spliceosomal RNA". Rfam says of the family: U1 is a small nuclear RNA (snRNA) component of the spliceosome (involved in pre-mRNA splicing). Its 5' end forms complementary base pairs with the 5' splice junction, thus defining the 5' donor site of an intron. There are significant differences in sequence and secondary structure between metazoan and yeast U1 snRNAs, the latter being much longer (568 nucleotides as compared to 164 nucleotides in human). Lineage: Eukaryota; Metazoa; Arthropoda; Arachnida; Ixodida; Ixodidae. The record is from Rfam by way of RNAcentral.
AUACUUACCUGGUGCUGGGCUGUUCGGUGGUCAUGAUGGCCGGCGCCCCAAGUGGAGGCCGACCAUUGCACUGCGGUCGGCUGAAGCUUGCCACUACCCCCAAACUGGGCAGAUGGGGCAUGCAAUUUUAAGAGCGAAUGCUCUUU